AUUGAACGCUGGCGGCAGGCUUAACACAUGCAAGUCGAGCGGAGAGAGGUAGCUUGCUACUGAUCUUAGCGGCGGACGGGUGAGUAAUGCUUAGGAAGCUGCCUAUUAGUGGGGGACAACAUUUCGAAAGGAAUGCUAAUACCGCAUACGUCCUACGGGAGAAAGCAGGGGAUCUUCGGACCUUGAGCUAAUAGAUGAGCCUAAGUCGGAUUAGCUAGUUGGUGGGGUAAAGGCCUACCAAGGCGACGAUCUGUAGCGGGUCUGAGAGGAUGAUCCGCCACACUGGGACUGAGACACGGCCCAGACUCCUACGGGAGGCAGCAGUGGGGAAUAUUGGACAAUGGGGGGAACCCUGAUCCAGCCAUGCCGCGUGUGUGAAGAAGGCCUUUUGGUUGUAAAGCACUUUAAGCGGGGAGGAGGCUACUAGUACUAAUAUUACUGGAUAGUGGACGUUACCCGCAGAAUAAGCACCGGCUAACUCUGUGCCAGCCGCCGCAGUAA
RNAcentral lists this ribosomal RNA (501 nucleotides) under uncultured bacterium. Its description in RNAcentral is "partial 16S ribosomal RNA". It matches the Rfam family "Bacterial small subunit ribosomal RNA", at positions 30 to 523 of the family's 1533-position model. The record is from RNAcentral.